This 594-nucleotide ribosomal RNA is filed under the name uncultured bacterium. Its description in RNAcentral is "bacterial SSU rRNA". It matches the Rfam family "Bacterial small subunit ribosomal RNA", at positions 338 to 937 of the family's 1533-position model. The record is from RNAcentral.
CCUACGGGAGGCGCAGUGGGGAAUAUUGGGCAAUGGAGGAAACUCUGACCCAGCGACGCCGCGUGCGGGAUGAAGGCCUUCGGGUUGUAAACCGCUUUCAGCAGGGAAGAAGCGAAAGUGACGGUACCUGCAGAAGAAGCACCGGCUAACUAUGUGCCAGCAGCCGCGGUAAUACAUAGGGUGCAAGCGUUGUCCGGAAUUAUUGGGCGUAAAGAGCUCGUAGGUGGUUCGCCACGUCGGAUGUGAAAAUCUGGGGCUUAACCCCAGACCUGCAUUCGAUACGGGCGAGCUUGAGUAUGGUAGGGGAGUCUGGAAUUCCUGGUGUAGCGGUGGAAUGCGCAGAUAUCAGGAGGAACACCAAUGGCGAAGGCAGGACUCUGGGCCAUUACUGACACUGAGGAGCGAAAGCGUGGGGAGCGAACAGGAUUAGAUACCCUGGUAGUCCACGCCGUAAACGGUGGGCACUAGUUGUGGGACCUUCCACGGUCUCUGCGACGCAGCUAACGCAUUAAGUGCCCCGCCGUGGGGAGUACGAUCGCAGAUUAAACUCAAGUAGUUAGUUGCGUUGUUGAGNGCGCGAGCACGACGGAGGAG